GUUAACCGUCGAGUUUGCCUGACGGCAAACGUCGUGAUUGUAUGCACUUUUUCAGGCUUUGCCUUGCAAAAGUGCGGAAAUUCGACAGUCCUCAAAAUCCGAUGAUUUUUGCGGCUGUCGAAUUUAUAA
Regulatory RNA element from Treponema pedis str. T A4, 129 nucleotides. It matches the Rfam family "TD-1 RNA". From Rfam's summary of the family: non coding RNA found in Treponema denticola NCBI's taxonomy places the organism in Bacteria, Pseudomonadati, Spirochaetota, Spirochaetia, Treponematales, Treponemataceae. The record is from Rfam.